This 2678-nucleotide long non-coding RNA is filed under the name Gallus gallus (chicken). Its description in RNAcentral is "lncRNA (ENSGALG00010002709.1)". The record is from RNAcentral. Lineage: Eukaryota; Metazoa; Chordata; Aves; Galliformes; Phasianidae.
AUUUAAGGGUUGGCAGUGGAAGUGAGGAUAUUUUGCUGGAGAUCCCUGCCUACCUGAGCCUAUCUGAAGAAUUGCCAGCCUUGUGGAUGAGAAGCAAGCAUUGGAUGUGAUACAUCUUGACACAGCUUUUGAGACAAACUACUUGGUUAUUCUCAAGAGCAAGAUGAGAAUACAUGGUCUGGAUAAAAUUAGAAAUAAAUUUUAGACUUUAUUAAAGACUAUGUACCAAUAACUCAAUGUUAAACUAAGUACCUUAAGCAAGGUCUCACUGAGACUUUUCAUGAGCACUGUUCAACAAUUUCAUUAAUGGCUUGGAUGAUGAGAAACAUAGUACACUUCUUUAAUCUUUAUGCACUGCUUCCUUGGGAAGAAUUGCAAGGAUGUUGGAAGACAGUAUUAUGUCUUAUAUCGAUACAAAAAAAAUUCAGUGAAGGGUGACUAAGUCUGGAUCAAAGGAGAAGGGGACAGACUAACAUCAGAAGAGAAUGGCAAACUGCUCCUUCUCCACAGAUGAAAGAGAAAAAUAAGUCUGAAUCCAAGGCAUAACACCAUUAUAAACAUCAAAAAACAUAUUAUUCAGCUGUUUCUCUACUGUGAGUGGUAUUAGCGGAGUCUCCCUUAAACUUCGGUAUAGUACAGGGCAUUGAUUAAAUGUCUUUCUGUCCUUACCUAUCAAAUUUUCAUUGCAUUUUUUCAAUUAUAGAUUCCACAUACGUUUCCUAUACGUAUUCCACAUACGUUAUCCUUUCCUAAAUGCCUUUUAAAGCAGACUCCAUAUCUUUAGUAUUUUUUGUGUUCUGAAUUUGCAAACCAAAUUGGAUUUUCUCUGUAGAGAUGUUUUCCUCUGUAAUCCUGGAGAUUUUUCCUUUUCAGCCUCCUUAUAAUGAAAGAGUAAAACUGAGUAUCAUUAGCUAAAAUAGCACAAAAUUUAUAUGAAAAUAUCACUAUAAUUGCCAUCAGUUAUAAAGGAAAAAAAUAGUUUUUGUAUUCUAGGAAUGAUAGUAAAAGUAAAGAAAUUUUUGUUCUGUAUCUGUAUUACGUUCUUGUUUCCCAUAUUCUCCCUUUGUAGAAAUAGAUGGAAACAUGAUUUUCACCAUAAAAGUAUCCAGAUUGACCAUAGUAUCACUGAUAGUCUAUGCCUUUCCUCAGAAGGAAAAUUCUGAAACCUUGGGGUGUUAUAUAUGAAGUACUGAUUAUAUCAACAACAAAAUUACCAGGUUUGUCAUAGUGUCCAUAACUUCUUUGAGAGCAACUGACUGUCCUUUCCUCUGUUUAGCUACAUAGUGACAAAUUUCACAGUUCCCCAAUGAAAUCCACUUUCUGUGUUUCUUUUUCCUGCAGUCUCCUUCCCUUCCUGAAUGUAUGCAAAAUGGUUAUUUUCUGGUUCUCACUUUCCUAUCUCUUUGAACUGUACAUACAACUAGCUAAUUGCCUCUGUGUUCUCUUUCAGUUCUAGAUCUUUUAUGGGAGCUUGCUAGCCACCUAAAAAUUUUAUCUCCAGUAUUAACAUCGCCUACUAUUCAUCUUGCAGAAUGUUCUUGAACGUUGUUAAUUAGGUGUCUCUUAUAAACAUUUGUUUUAACUGAUCAGUUAAAUAUUAACCUAGAUUACUGUACAACUGCUCAUGUAUUCUCAGAUUCUAUAGCUACUAUGUUCAAAUGUUUCAGAUUUGCCAUUACUUGUUUUGUUUAUGCCUGCAAACAAAAACAAAGCUUGCAGUAUACAAGUUGCUAUGAUCUAAGAUUGUCCUAAGGUCCCAGUGAUAGUAUGGUUCUACAUCAAUCUAAUCGGGAUCAUGGGAACUGGUCUUAUAAAAGACCUGCUCUGUUGACUAUUCCUGUUGCCCUGAUUUACAAGUAUCGUUUGAAAGUUUUCCUUCAUGUUUUCUGGACUAUUUCCCAUGAAUACUCCUAAGUUUCCCUGAUUGAGUUUCACUGUUGAAGACUACUUCUGGAGGUUUCUUCCAGCUUCCUAUAAUAUGAUGGGGCGCUUCCUAUAAUACGAUGGGGCACUUCCUGCAUUAAAAUACAAAGUCUUAUCUCACAAUGAUCAAAUCAGACAUAGAUUUUGAAAAAAUGAAUCUCACUGGUCCACAUGCACACAUGCACACACAACAGAAAAAAAAAAAAAAAACUAGCAAAACUCCGGUGAACUUUUGAAAUUAAUUUCAUAGAUGAGGAAGAUGCACAAGUUGAUAGGAAUAACCUAAUUGUAAAUUGGCUAAUUGACCAAAUGAAUGACUGUUUACUGCUUUCCAUUUCAAAUAUUGCUUUGAUCAUUGUGUGCGAAAAUAGCACGAUUUAUUUUAGUAUCCAAGUUUAUCAGAAUGGAAUGUCUUGCUUUGAACAAAAUUAAAUGAAGAUUUUAUUUACUGAGAUAUCACAAUUCCUGCCUUGAAUUCACUUACAAAUGUUCCAUUCCAUAAAUAAUGAAGAUGGUGUGCCUUUAAGUUUUAUUAAGUUACUAAUAAUAGAUGGGAUUGGCUUUGAACUGUGUGAAACAAUCAUGAGGCAGUGAAGAUGAUGAGGUCAGCACAAUAUUUCAGAACCCAGGGCUUUUAUGUAGAUGCAUUGAGAUUAUUUCAGCAUUAGUAUUUUAUAAUAAAGUUGCUUCUGAAAACAAAUAUUUGUUUUCAGUGAAACAUAAAUUUCUAAUAAAAACUUACUUGUUUUUUGUUC